This is a long non-coding RNA of Oncorhynchus keta (chum salmon), 782 nucleotides long. RefSeq lists it as uncharacterized. The transcript is spliced from 3 exons. The record is from RefSeq and is a predicted model, not a curated record. NCBI's taxonomy places the organism in Eukaryota, Metazoa, Chordata, Actinopteri, Salmoniformes, Salmonidae.
CCUCGUGAGCUGUCCUAAGUAGUUAAGAGUUAACAGCAGCUGUCCUAAGUAGUUAAGAGUUAACAGCAGGUGUCUUGAUAAUACUAUAGAAUAAUGCAGUGAGUCAGUGGUUCCUGAGCCACAUGUAAUUGCUUUGAGUAGAUAAAAAUAAUGUUUUACAUUUCUAUAUGAUCAAUCCAUUAAUAAUGUAGACCUACAUGCAACAGUAUGUCUUGUGCUUUUGACAAUGAUUUAUGUCUAAUAAUUAUGUAUAACAAGUGAUACCACGUAUGUCUGUGGCGGAAGGUAGCCUCCUGGUUAGAGUGUAGAGGUGGCAGGUAGCCUCCUGGUUAGAGUGUAGAGGUGGCAGGUAGCCUAGUGGUUAGAUUGUAGAGGUGGCAGGUAGCCUAGUGGUUAGAGUGUAGAGGUGGCAGGUAGCCUAGUGGUUAGAGUGUAGAGGUGGCAGGUAGCCUAGUGGUUAGAGUGUAGAGGUGGCAGGUAGCCUAGUGGUUGGAGUGUAGAGGUGGCAGGUAGCCUAGUGGUUAGAGUGUAGAGGUGGCAGGUAGCCUAGUGGUUAGAGUGUAGAGGUGGCAGGUAGCCUCGUGGUUAGAGUGUAGAGGUGGCAGGUAGCCUCGUGGUUAGAGUGUAGAGGUGGCAGGUAGCCUAGUGGUUAGAGUGUAGAGGUGGCAGGUAGCCUAGUGGUUAGAGUGUAGAGGUGGCAGGUAGCCUAGUGGUUAGAGUGUAGAGGUGGCAGGUAGCCUCGUGGUUAGAGUGUAGAGGUGGCAGGUAGCCUAGUGGUUGGA